This is a non-coding RNA of Sus scrofa (pig), 3072 nucleotides long. Lineage: Eukaryota; Metazoa; Chordata; Mammalia; Artiodactyla; Suidae. The record is from RefSeq and is a predicted model, not a curated record.
CCCCCACGUCGGAACCGCCCGGGGUCCUUCCGUGAGCUUUGAUAUGAUUGGCCGGCGAAAAGCAUCCUUCUUUUUCUCCCUGGUUGCUUGAAGGCCAGCCGCCAUCAUGAACGACACAGUCACUAUCCGGACCAGGAAGUUCAUGACCAACCGACUACUUCAGCGGAAACAAAUGGUCAUUGAUGUCCUUCACCCUGGGAAGGCAACGGUACCUAAGACAGAAAUUCGGGAAAAACUAGCCAAAAUGUACAAGACUACACCAGAUGUCAUCUUUGUCUUUGGAUUCAGAACCCAUUUUGGUGGUGGCAAGACAACCGGCUUUGGCAUGAUUUAUGAUUCCUUGGAUUAUGCAAAGAAAAAUGAGCCCAAACACAGGCUUGCAAGACACGGCUUGUAUGAGAAGAAAAAGACCUCAAGAAAACAGAGAAAAGAACGCAAGAACAGAAUGAAGAAAGUUAGGGGAACUGCAAAGGCCAAUGUUGGUGCUGGCAAAAAGAAGGUAACCUGUUCUGAGAAGCCACGUAAUGUAGUAUCAUAAGACCUCCGUAGAGUAGCUUUGCCUACCCCUUGUCGGCUCACAGAUGAUAGCAUACAUGGGGCCACAUUGGUUCAGUGAUCCUGUUGGGUACCUUUCAAACCUAUGAGGAAAAGUUUUCAUUUUACUGCUAAUUGGCAAAGUUUGUUAAAGGGGAGCAGAUUUAGGUUCCCAAGAUUUAUUUUCUUAAAAUUGACAACUGGUUUAAGAAGCAGUUGAAUCAAUGUGGCCCUUGUUUUCCUGGCAUGCUGGAGAGGCAGCAGUGUUCUGCGUUGCUUUUCUCCAGUUAGUUAGGACCUAAGUGAUUUUAAUGAUCAGCUUUUUACCAGCUUUGCUAGCUAAUUGUAAGUAGUUGAAUGGAAUUAAGGUGUUGGGUUGUUAAAUUAACAAAUAAUCAAGUGUUCUGUGAACUUUUUUUUUUUUUUUUGCCUUUUCCCUCUACUUUCUUGGAAUUCUUGUUCAUCAGAAAUGAAGUGUCUAGCAGGUACUGAGAUUUUGAGCACGGUGUGGGGAUGCAUCACCUUCACAGAGUUUGCUUUGAUGCUUUGCAUGUUGGCUUUCAAAAGACAAUUACGUAGUGUGGUCUAUUAGAAAACCACUGCUAUGGUUCAAGAUAAUACAGUAUGAGCAAAGGAGAACAACUUUUAAUUAGUUUGUGAAACUCAAUGCAUGUUAAAUUGUGAAGUACCCCAGUGGAGGAAGGUGGGUACCCUACUCACUAGAUCCCUCUAAACAGCACUUGGGCAAUGCUGUGUUCCCGAGCGUCACAUACCCAAGACAUGGCUUUAGCUAACACAGGGCUUGGGAACUUCUCUAGUCCAGUCAUGAGCAGUCAUGGGACUGGUUGAUUCUCUGGCAGCUCUGGCGAGAAACUGGUCCAGAAAAUCUGGCAAUGUCUCUGUCCUGGGAGCACUCAACCAAAGCCGCCAUUUACCAUAUCCUUUACUGUUUCAUAGCUAUUUUUUUUUAAAAAAUAACAACUUUUUCUUUCCCUUUCUUUUUUUGGCUGUCCUGUGGCACUCGUAGUUCCUGGGCCAGGGAUCAGAUAGGAGCUGCAGUUGCCACCUAACCUCAGCUGCAGCAACCCUGGAUCCUUAACACACUGUGCCUGUGUCCCAGUGCUCCCAAGAUGCUGCCAAUCUCAUUGCACCACAGCAGAAACUCCUUCAUUGCUUUUUUGGUUACUCGAUCUCCAUUUCCAUCUGAUGCCCCCUUUUUUUCCCACUUGAAAAAUUUUCAAGAUAAUUGUAUAUUCACAUCAAAGACUUUUGAUAAAUACACUUUUCCCACAAGUAAUUAAACUUUUCGCAUAGUUGAGCAGCCUGAACCAGUAACAUGUAAAGUGGGCUGAGAGUGUGACUGGGGCUAGUAGGGUUUUGAAAGAGUGGUAGCACUGCCCUUGUGUGCUCCCUUUCACCCUGACUCCUUGCCAGGCCAGGCAGUAACCCUGGUGUGUUUGCCACAAGCUCUAAUCACAUUGACCUCCCAAUGCCGUGAAGUUAGUGUAAUGGACGGACUGCCAGAGGGACUACUUGCUGCUUAGAAUCGCUCCCUGUUUGUGAGUCUUAGAAACCUGUUAAGAGAAGUUCCAGUCAAUGUUUGUGUUCUGAUGUAAAUCUGAGGAACAUUUUAACGCAUUCUUUUCUUCAUUCAGCUUUUGAGUCCCAUGGGUUAGUGGUGACAUGUGCAAAGGGUUAGCUGUGGAGAUCUGAGCUAUUACUACUUCUGCAAGUUGUAUUAGUGCAUAUCACUAGCACUGCUCUGAAAGGCUGGAAAAUGAAUGCAUAAAUGAACUGAUGCAUUUUUUGGCUCAAAAAAAGUCAGGCAUAGUAAUAUUCCUUUUAAUAUUCCUUUCAGUUCUUGUUCAGGUGUUGGAAUUUUGCCUUUUGGAUGCAGUAGAGUUCUAAAUUAAGGAAUAGUCUCAUGUUGGAAGAGCAAUUGAAGCAUUUUUGCAUUAGCUAAGUUCUGCCUCUUUCAGUACUAAUUCAUGCUACUUUUGUCUUCUACUGUGAACGGUAGCUUUUAAACUGAAUUGAGACAAGUUUUUAAAAGACAUGUUCAUUUAGAGGUCUCCCUUUGUGGUUAAAUUAGACUUUAGGAUGAUUCUCACUCAGGUCUGUUGAUGGUGCUAGUGCACCCAGCAUGAUAUUGCUGAGCAGAGCCGAGGGGCUGAAGCUCCUCCAUGUAUAAGUAGGCAAUAGCAGCCUUCUAAGAACCACAGUAAUCAGGCAAAAUGUUCUCAAAAUUGGGAGGAAUGAAAUCAAUGAGUGUAUCUAAGGAGUGCUCUUUAUACAAUUGCAAAGAACAAAACAAUCAUCACUAAGGUAUCUGAUUGCAUGCAGAUUAUUUAGGAGUUUGAAAAGGGACUAUUAAUGAAAUGUUUCUUUUCCCUCUUCCUCCUUUCUCCCUUCCCUGCCACUGAUUCAGUGAGCUGGAGAUUGGACAACAGAAGGAGUAAAGAUUCUGCAGUGACUGUGUCUGUGGUGAUUGUGCAAAAUUUUCAUGAGGGGCCCAAUAAACUAAGAACUUUUACAUGU